Long non-coding RNA from Triticum aestivum (bread wheat), 1228 nucleotides. RefSeq lists it as uncharacterized. Lineage: Eukaryota; Viridiplantae; Streptophyta; Magnoliopsida; Poales; Poaceae. The transcript has 4 exons. The record is from RefSeq and is a predicted model, not a curated record.
UCCUAGGGAAAAUCUAACCUCCUAUACGGACGUACCUACCCACGCCCUCCCAAAUUUUCCCCAUCUCCCCUCCCCCAUGAUUCCUCUCACUCAAGCUCCAUGACCACGAAUCCAGGAUGUUGAUCGCCACCAGCAAUUGCAGCUAGCUCGGGCGCUCUUCCACGGCGUCGCUCACUAGCCCGGCUGGCCCGCAGUCCUCUCCUCCGACCCUCCGCCGUCGCAACUUCCUUCGCGCUGCUGCACAUGCCCUGCAGCAACCCUAGCCGCCACGGGCCGCCGGUGCGACUCCCGCGUAGGCCCUCUACCCCGCGUCUCCGCACGCGCAGGUGAUGGCUUGGGCUCGCCGGUGCUGCUCCGCCUCGGCUACAUCGCCUCUGACACCGACAAUUUAGUUCUGAAACUGACCUUGCUUCAGCCAACAUGUGCGUAUUUGUUGGAUUGCAUUGUCAUUCUAGUAGUAGUUCGAUCUGUUGUGUUGAUGAACAUCCACGUGAGGCUGCAGGAUCGUUAAUGGCGUCGUAGCAGCACUGCACAAUUAAUUAUUGAUGGCGAGCAACAUCACAGCUCUUCUCAUCGUGCUCACAGGCUGUGGAGCCGCCAGCCUGCUGGAGCUACUGGCCUGCUUGAGGCGCCCUCGAUCAGUGCCAACAUGGCGAGAGAAAACUAUGGUACAGAUUUCUUAGGUUGCAAGGUUCUGUGUUCCCCUAGGAUUUAAGAUGGUGUUGUUACUUGAUGUAGGAACUAUGGUAUACUAUGACUAUAACACGUUUUGUUGUUUCUUGUAUUGUUUCAGUGCAUGAGCCAGAACCCUGUAAGAUUGAUUUCACCUUUCUCCAAUUACUCUUAUCAGAACUUGUGGUUCUACAUGUUGCUGGCUCCCAACUUUUCUUCAAUCGACAUCUAAUUAUUCACAAGAUCAUGAAAUAUUGAUGUCUCACUGGUUCUUCAUCUAUCAAUUUCCCAGAUUAGGAGUUGAUAUAAACAUCAAUAUGCUCAAGAUUGCCAAGAUAAACUGGAUGAUGCAUGGCUCCAAUGUUGAUUGCAAGGAUGAGAAUGGGGCUACUACUAGAUAAUUAGAAUGUAAUUUUCAAGACAACAUUUCAAAUAUAUAGUUGAUGGCAAGGUCGAGAAUUCGGCUACUACUAGAUAGUUUCACAUCUUGUAAUCUCUGGAUCGUGUUCUUUGUAAUGCAACAUAUUUGAUUCAAUAUAUGAGACCCUCCUGUUCA